This 312-nucleotide long non-coding RNA is filed under the name Olea europaea (common olive). RNAcentral's name for it is "long non-coding RNA (OEUR_LNC008150)". Lineage: Eukaryota; Viridiplantae; Streptophyta; Magnoliopsida; Lamiales; Oleaceae. The record is from RNAcentral.
UAGAAGUGUACAGGAGCCUCUAAUGGUUAAUAGCGCUGAAUAAAUUAUAGAUUCCAUAAUAUGCAAAAUUGUAAUGCUUAUUUAAGAAAAAUCAAAAUACAACUCACCAUAUAGCGAAGGAACUAUAAUUGUACAAGUUAUUUAAAAAUCAAUUCAUAUUUUCCAGGAAGAAAAUAGUACAACGUAUACAUAAAAAAAAAUAGUGAAAGAACGAACCAUUAACGAACAAACAAGUACAUGUAUAACAGCAAAUGCAGCUCCAUUUCUAUGCCCCAAGUCUGUGUCAUUUUAAAUUGUUGAUAGUUGGAAACU